Molecule: transfer RNA, 75 nt
Filed under: Salinibacter ruber
Lineage: Bacteria; Pseudomonadati; Rhodothermota; Rhodothermia; Rhodothermales; Salinibacteraceae
Also listed under: 11 other names
Description: tRNA-Arg(tcg)
Rfam family: tRNA
About the family: Transfer RNA (tRNA) molecules are approximately 80 nucleotides in length. Their secondary structure includes four short double-helical elements and three loops (D, anti-codon, and T loops).
Source: RNAcentral
GGGCCUGUAGCUCAGCCUGGAUAGAGCAUCGGCCUUCGGAGCCGAGUGUCGGGGGUUCGAAUCCUCCCGGGCCCG